RNAcentral lists this ribosomal RNA (1189 nucleotides) under Actinobaculum massiliense. RNAcentral describes it as "bacterial SSU rRNA". It matches the Rfam family "Bacterial small subunit ribosomal RNA", at positions 108 to 1299 of the family's 1533-position model. The record is from RNAcentral. Lineage: Bacteria; Bacillati; Actinomycetota; Actinomycetes; Actinomycetales; Actinomycetaceae.
GAGUAUUACGUGAGUAACCUGCCCUCAACUGUGGGAUAAGCCUGGGAAACUGGGUCUAAUACUGCAUAUUCUUCUUUCACCGCAUGGUGGGGGUUGGAAAGUUUUUUCGGUUGGGGAUGGGCUCGCGGCCUAUCAGCUUGUUGGUGGGGUGAUGGCCUACCAAGGCGGUGACGGGUAGCCGGCCUGAGAGGGUGGUCGGCCACAUUGGGACUGAGAUACGGCCCAGACUCCUACGGGAGGCAGCAGUGGGGGAUAUUGCACAAUGGGCGCAAGCCUGAUGCAGCGACGCCGCGUGAGGGAUGAAGGCUUUCGGGUUGUAAACCUCUUUCGGUACAGAACAAGGCACGUUUUUUGCGUGUGGAGGGUAUGUGCAGAAGAAGCGCCGGCUAACUACGUGCCAGCAGCCGCGGUAAUACGUAGGGCGCGAGCGUUGUCCGGAAUUAUUGGGCGUAAAGGGCUCGUAGGCGGCUUGUUGCGCCUGCUGUGAAAACGCGGGGCUUAACUCCGCGCGUGCAGUGGGUACGGGCAGGCUUGAGUGUGGUAGGGGUGACUGGAAUUCCAGGUGUAGCGGUGGAAUGCGCAGAUAUCUGGAGGAACACCGAUGGCGAAGGCAGGUCACUGGGCCAUUACUGACGCUGAGGAGCGAAAGCGUGGGUAGCGAACAGGAUUAGAUACCCUGGUAGUCCACGCUGUAAACGUUGGGAACUAGGUGUGGGGCCCUUUUCCGGGGUUCUGCGCCGUAGCUAACGCAUUAAGUUCCCCGCCUGGGGAGUACGGCCGCAAGGCUAAAACUCAAAGGAAUUGACGGGGGCCCGCACAAGCGGCGGAGCAUGCGGAUUAAUUCGAUGCAACGCGAAGAACCUUACCAAGGCUUGACAUACACCGGGAGCAUGCAGAGAUGUGUGUGCCUUUUUGGCUGGUGUACAGGUGGUGCAUGGUUGUCGUCAGCUCGUGUCGUGAGAUGUUGGGUUAAGUCCCGCAACGAGCGCAACCCUUGUCUCGUGUUGCCAGCGCGUUAUGGUGGGGACUCACGAGAGACUGCCGGGGUUAACUCGGAGGAAGGUGGGGAUGACGUCAAAUCAUCAUGCCCCUUAUGUCUUGGGCUUCACGCAUGCUACAAUGGCCGGUACAGUGGGUUGCGAUACUGUGAGGUGGAGCGAAUCUCUGAAAGCCGGUCUCAGUUCGGAUC